UUAACAAAUAGCUUAUAUUAAGCAUAGCACUGAAGAUGCUAAGAAGGUAUUACCUUUGUUAAU
RNAcentral lists this transfer RNA (63 nucleotides) under Radix auricularia. RNAcentral's name for it is "tRNA-Phe". The record is from RNAcentral. Lineage: Eukaryota; Metazoa; Mollusca; Gastropoda; Lymnaeidae.